AUCGCUUCUUGGCCUUUUGGCUAAGAUCAAGUGAAGAGAAUAGUCCCCCAAAUAUUAUGAGAUAACGUUGUUAAAUGACAGAGCUUUUUAGUGUAACUGUUAAAAGGACUCAGCACUUGUGAUAUAUUUGUUAGAGACAUAUUGCUGUACUUUGUGGCACCUUUA
Molecule: small nuclear RNA, 165 nt
Gene: U2
Rfam family: U2 spliceosomal RNA
About the family: U2 is a small nuclear RNA (snRNA) component of the spliceosome (involved in pre-mRNA splicing). Complementary binding between U2 snRNA (in an area lying towards the 5' end but 3' to hairpin I) and the branchpoint sequence (BPS) of the intron results the bulging out of an unpaired adenosine, on the BPS, which initiates a nucleophilic attack at the intronic 5' splice site, thus starting the first of two transesterification reactions that mediate splicing.
Source: Ensembl